Molecule: long non-coding RNA, 622 nt
Filed under: Sus scrofa (pig)
Lineage: Eukaryota; Metazoa; Chordata; Mammalia; Artiodactyla; Suidae
Description: lncRNA (ENSSSCG00035076184.1)
Source: RNAcentral
GACAGAGCUGCCAAGUUCGGAGAAACUCUGGGCGUAAUUUGCCGCCUCAGAGAAAAAAGGCAGCUUUCUACACUGCCAGGCACUGAUCGCACAACAGCCAGCCUAAGACUAGGCGGGGCCAUCUGCUACGCACCGUCAUUCCGAACCCCCGAGAGCAGCGCGCGUGGGAAUAGACAGCCGGCGCUCCACGAAAGACACUGCCUACAUCGUAUUUCCGACGGUUCUGCGGGCGUUCACCACGCGGCAGCCCGGACGGCGAGUUCUCCCGGAUCGCGGCGGGAAGCGCAGACCUCCGGAGUCCCGGAAGGGCGCACACCCAGCCCCCGGCCAUGGCUCCGGGACCCCAUCUUCCUCGUCGUCUUGAGUGUCGUGCUGUGGAUCAGUUCCUUAAAAAUGGACGACAUAUGAAUAAAGAAAAUAGGUCUGAAAGGUGAGGAUUUCAAAGAGUAGAUCUCUUCAUUCUUCAAACUGCUGACCCCAUGAGGACAGGCACCGCACCUCUGCUUCCUGCUUGGCCUCUGUUCCUGGAGGGGAGCACAUUCGGGCCUUUCACUUGGAGAAGCUACUGGUCAGGCCUAUCUCCUCCUCUUCCUGCGGUAGUGCUUCAGUGGGAAUCACGUUG